GCAUCAGCCGUUGUCCCCGCCCCUUUUCUGCCUGGGUACCGGAUUCUCCAUCCUCAUAAAAAAAUGGAUGAACAAAUAAAAUGCGGCGUCUCAGAAACCGGAUUAAAGCUGCAUAGCGCCAUUUACUUUUUGUAAAGAAGGUAUUUUACUUUUUGAUGGACUUAGAUUUUAUAGACCAGCAAUAUAUUUGCCCCCGAGAAGGUGAGGGGUUUUGAAUGAAACAUGAGAUGCGGCUAUUGUUCGCAAGCGCCAGAAUCCUUGUUUGGGAUGGAUGGCCUAGGUAUCCUGCUCGCUUCCUUUAACUCCAGUCGUACGAGUAUAAAGUGAAAUGUGCACCGAUGUAACUCUCAAAAUAAACAUUUUUUAUAAUCAAGUGCGUGAGAUGUGGUUUUACUUCUUUAAUGGGAGUUAUAACACAGCCAACAGAGGUGUGGAUUCUAGGGCAUUCUUCCAUGUACCAUACAGCCAAAGAAUUGAGUGAAUCAGGAUGGAACCUGGGUUUCAAAGAAGAAGAAGAAGACGAAGAAAUGCUGAUUCACUGCCUGCAAAGGAAAGAAUGCAGUGAAGGCACCUGAUGGCAUCUUUAACAGAGUAUUCAGAGUCAUUACCUGAGCCAAAUGUAAUUGUAUUACAUGUAGGGGGGAAUGGUGUUACAAGUUGUCCAUUGUUAUUGUACUUCAAAAAAAUAGCAUCUUUCAAAGAUUAAGGCAGAUGUGGCCAAGUAUUAAACUUGUGUGGUUGGAUAUAAUUCCAGGACCAGUCUGUCAAGGAGCAAAUAAUGUCAAAGCAGUGGAAAGGGCUAAGGAAUUAAAUUUAUUAACUAACAGGUAUGCACACUAGCGGUUUGGGUACUGCAUCAAACUAAUUAAUAUCAGUUCACCAUAACUGUACAGAAAUGAUGGAGUUCAGUUGUCACAUCAAGGAUGAAGUUAUUUAUAGGAAAUCUAAAAGGAAUCACAAAGUUGGCAAAUGUGUUGGGUGGAGAUGGCAUGUAGGACAAGCCAUCUUCCUGUGACAGAAGAGCAGGCCUGGAAGACUAAUAUUGCAAAAAAGUAUGCUUGGCCUGCGAAGGGAUGCAAACUUGGACAGCUUGGCCCUUCUCUGGGUGGGCUUCCCCCUGGUGUACCAGGCAGGCUGUGGUCCACAGCACUGGGUCUCACAAGUGGCAGAUCCCCUCCAACCACUGGUAUCUGGCUAAAUGGUGACAGGGGACUGUUGGUGUUUGGUUGUAAAUCCAUUCAGCCAUUGGUGUUGGCAGAGCAUUUACAGGGACUGUGGUGGUAUGUUAUGGCCUGGUUGAUAUGACUUAUUUCCAAGUUGUGCCCUUUUCCUACAUCUGAAUAUUCUUGGUUGGCAUUGAUUGGUCUGAUUGGCAUUUACUUCUGAUCUGGUACUGAUUUAAUACAUAAUUUGAUCUGACUGGCAUAAUAAAUACAUGGCUGUGGCCAUUAGUUCCAA
Molecule: long non-coding RNA, 1458 nt
Organism: Protopterus annectens (West African lungfish)
Lineage: Eukaryota; Metazoa; Chordata; Ceratodontiformes; Protopteridae
Exons: 2
Source: RefSeq, a predicted model, not a curated record